RNAcentral lists this ribosomal RNA (253 nucleotides) under uncultured bacterium. RNAcentral describes it as "partial 16S ribosomal RNA". It matches the Rfam family "Bacterial small subunit ribosomal RNA", at positions 524 to 776 of the family's 1533-position model. The record is from RNAcentral.
UACGUAGGGAGCAAGCGUUAUCCGGAUUUACUGGGUGUAAAGGGCGCGUAGGCGGGAUGGCAAGUCAGAUGUGAAAUCCAGGGGCUCAACCCCUGAACUGCAUUUGAAACUGUCGUUCUUGAGUACUGGAGAGGUUGACGGAAUUCCUAGUGUAGCGGUGGAAUGCGUAGAUAUUAGGAGGAACACCAGUGGCGAAGGCGGUCAACUGGACAGCAACUGACGCUGAGGCGCGAAAGCGUGGGGAGCAAACAGG